GGGGAUGUAGCUCAACUGGUAGAGCACUAUGUAUUGCAUGCUAGAAGAUCAGGGUUCAAUUCCUUGCAUCUCCA
RNAcentral lists this transfer RNA (74 nucleotides) under Setaria italica (foxtail millet). It matches the Rfam family "tRNA". From Rfam's summary of the family: Transfer RNA (tRNA) molecules are approximately 80 nucleotides in length. Their secondary structure includes four short double-helical elements and three loops (D, anti-codon, and T loops). Lineage: Eukaryota; Viridiplantae; Streptophyta; Magnoliopsida; Poales; Poaceae. The record is from Rfam by way of RNAcentral.